Molecule: long non-coding RNA, 1329 nt
Filed under: Anser brachyrhynchus (Pink-footed goose)
Lineage: Eukaryota; Metazoa; Chordata; Aves; Anseriformes; Anatidae
Description: lncRNA (ENSABRG00000000134.1)
Source: RNAcentral
AUGGCAGCAAACUCCCAAAUAUAUCUGCGAUCUCACACAGGUAUCUCUGAAAAGGAGCUAUGUAAACUUCAAACUUGUAUGCAUGAACUCCAUAUGGCUAGAGCUACCAGCUGCGUGCAGAUACGAAACCACCUCAGCACACCCGACAGAAGAGCCCUGUGUCAGACACAUCCGACGAGUCUGCCCUCGAGCAGCCCCCAAGGGAGCCACAAGCUGGUGGUCAGGCAGUUGCGUGGAGAGAAGGGCGGCUCAGCGCAUGCUAUCUUCAGCCACUUCAGAGACCAGUCUUUCCACAAAAUAAAAAAGAAUAUAGAUAUUUUAUAGAUUAAUAUAGAUCUUUAUGUUGAUAUGGGUAGAAAUACAGAUAUACAAUUCUAUAAUUAUAGAACUUCACUUCGAAGCUCUGUAUCUCAAUUCCUGCUACGUUCUUCCCAAAGUACUCAGAAAAUUCUUCCAAGUCUCGUAACUCCUGUGAUUUAUAGCUGUAUGUUUGCCCAUUCUCUCUUUAAGCAUCUGAACUCCAGACACAUGACUAAUGAAUUCUUUUCUAAUCUGUGUGCUAUAUUAGUUUGAAUAAUUAGUUAAACUGCUUAAGUAAUGCCAUUUUUGAAGUCUCAUAGCAUUACCAAAUAGAAAUUAAUGUUCUUUUUAACAAGAAAAGACAUUCAUUAGAACACUCGUAUGACACAUUCUCCUUUGCAAUUUGGGCAUUUUAACCUCUUCUAUACAGUGUGAUUCACUUUUUAACUUUUAGAUUUAAAAAGUUACAAGAUUUGUGUUCUAAACUGUAUUUUUCCAUUUUUCAUUUUAAAGUCAGUAAUGCUGUCUUUUACUAAAAUUAUAAUCAUAAUGUCUUUCAGUAGAUAGCAAACUUUGGCCUCAGAACAGUUUAUUAGAAAACUGCGAUUGAUAUCAAACUACCUGAAUUUAAAGAAUAUGCAAACUGAAUUGCUAGAUGUUAGGUCUCACAUACAGACUAAUCCAUCAAAACAUUCCUGAGGUGUCUAUAGCAAGCCAAGAGUUCAGAAUUUAUUGAAAGAAUCAUUUAAAAGUAUCACACUGCUUAUAUAAAAUGGAAGUUCAGUAAAAAGAUAGAGGAUGAAAAGAUGAAGGAUCUUCCAUCCUGCAUCUUGCACACAAUGUAAAACUAAUAUUUUCUUCCCAGUGUCCAAUAUGAUUACUGAUCCAAAGAUGCGUAUUUUCAAAAUUAACUUUUAUCAAACCAAUUAAAGACACCAUAAUAGAAAAUUUAAUGGUUUGCCCUCCCUCAAAAAACAUAACUUUUUUAGCUGUAAUAAAUAUAAAUUACAUAAUUUAUGACUUAAAAAG